Non-coding RNA from Peromyscus maniculatus bairdii (prairie deer mouse), 161 nucleotides. The record is from RefSeq and is a predicted model, not a curated record. Lineage: Eukaryota; Metazoa; Chordata; Mammalia; Rodentia; Cricetidae.
GGAGCUUGGCUUUACUUUAGUGAGAUUGUGACUGUGCUCUUCCUUCUUAAAAAUUCCCCAUGUGGCUUGUUUUCCAAAGUACCGAGAACAAAACCCUACGCUUCCCUAGGUCUUGUAACCCUUCAAGUCUGAAUGGAAAUAUAGUGCUUGGUCAUAUUCUA